GAGGGUAUAGCUCAAUGUGAUAGAGCAUGUAUGCUUAGCAUGUAUGAGGUCCUGGGUUCAAUCCCCAGUGCCUCCU
RNAcentral lists this transfer RNA (76 nucleotides) under Camelus dromedarius (Arabian camel). It matches the Rfam family "tRNA". Rfam says of the family: Transfer RNA (tRNA) molecules are approximately 80 nucleotides in length. Their secondary structure includes four short double-helical elements and three loops (D, anti-codon, and T loops). Lineage: Eukaryota; Metazoa; Chordata; Mammalia; Artiodactyla; Camelidae. RNAcentral also lists the same sequence under 1 other name. The record is from Rfam by way of RNAcentral.